AACGUAGGACGCAAGCGUUAUCCGGAAUUACUGGGCGUAAAGCGUGUGCAGGCGGGCUGACAAGUGGGGUAUGAAAUCUUCCGGCUUAACCGGGAGCGGUUAUGCCAGACUGUCAGUCUUGAGUGCGAGAGAGGAGCGUGGAAUUCCGGGUGUAGUGGUGAAAUGCGUAGAGAUCCGGAGGAACCCCAGAGGCGAAGGCGGCGCUCUGGCUCGCAACUGACGCUCAGACACGACAGCAUGGGGAGCGAACGGG
RNAcentral lists this ribosomal RNA (253 nucleotides) under uncultured bacterium. Its description in RNAcentral is "partial 16S ribosomal RNA". It matches the Rfam family "Bacterial small subunit ribosomal RNA", at positions 524 to 776 of the family's 1533-position model. The record is from RNAcentral.